CCCACAUCAGAUGAGCUUGAGCCCCACUUCAGCCUGCUUGUGGCCCUCGGAUCCACCACCAGCGUUCCUGCCUCAGCAUCUCCCUCUGUGGAACACCUGCCCUCCUGUGAACUGACCAAAGUCUACCCUUCCUUCCUGCUGGCCAGGGCCCCGCACUUGCAGGCCACCAUUCCUGACUGCUCUGGUCUUUCUCCGCACCACGAUGGAGGGAGCUGUGUGAUGAGGAAUGUGAGUGGUCUCUAAAAACUGAGAGCAGUCUUCGCCUGAAGGCCAGCAAGGACAUGGGGACCUCAGUCUUAGAACCAUAGGAACCAAAUGCUGCCAACAACCUGAAUGACUUUGGAUGUGGAUUCUUCCCCAGACCCUCCAGAUAAGGACCUGGCCUGCUGAUACCUUGACUUUGGCCUCGUGAGACCCUGAGGAAAAACUGAGCUGAAUCUCCUGCACCUCUAAAUUCUAGAAUUGUGAGAUAAUAAAUGUUUUAAGCUGCUAAA
This is a long non-coding RNA of Lynx canadensis (Canada lynx), 494 nucleotides long. RefSeq lists it as uncharacterized. The transcript has 3 exons. NCBI's taxonomy places the organism in Eukaryota, Metazoa, Chordata, Mammalia, Carnivora, Felidae. The record is from RefSeq and is a predicted model, not a curated record.